UCCUAAUGAGGAAGAAUUCCCAUAAAAAGAUAGGAAGUGCCGUAUGACACUCCAAAAAAGUAGCAAU
Molecule: small nucleolar RNA, 67 nt
Organism: Amaranthus tricolor (Joseph's coat)
Lineage: Eukaryota; Viridiplantae; Streptophyta; Magnoliopsida; Caryophyllales; Amaranthaceae
Product: small nucleolar RNA U49
Exons: 1
Source: RefSeq, a predicted model, not a curated record